CAUGUAGGCGGAUUGAUAAGUUUGAAGUGAAAUCCUAUAGCUUAACUAUAGAACUGCUUUGAAAACUGUUAAUCUAGAAUGUGGGAGAGGUAGAUGGAAUUUCUGGUGUAGGGGUAAAAUCCGUAGAGAUCAGAAGGAAUACCGAUUGCGAAGGCGACUAACUGGACUGUAACUGACGCUGAGGCGCGAAAGUGUGGGGAGCAAACA
RNAcentral lists this ribosomal RNA (207 nucleotides) under uncultured bacterium. RNAcentral describes it as "partial 16S ribosomal RNA". It matches the Rfam family "Bacterial small subunit ribosomal RNA", at positions 568 to 774 of the family's 1533-position model. The record is from RNAcentral.